Molecule: unclassified non-coding RNA, 473 nt
Filed under: uncultured Glomus
Lineage: Eukaryota; Fungi; Glomeromycota; Glomeromycetes; Glomerales; Glomeraceae
Description: SSU rRNA
Rfam family: Eukaryotic small subunit ribosomal RNA
Source: RNAcentral
AGCAGCCGCGGUAAUUCCAGCUCCAAUAGCGUAUAUUAAAGUUGUUGCAGUUAAAAAGCUCGUAGUUGAAUUUCGGGAUUAAUAUGUUGGUCGUGCCUUGGUACGUACUGGCAUUAUUGAUUCCUACCUUCUGAAGAACCUCGAUGUCAUUAAUUUGGUGUCUUGGGGAAUCAGGACCGUUACUUUGAAAAAAUUAGAGUGUUUAAAGCAGGCUCGCGCUUGAAUACAUUAGCAUGGAAUAAUGAAAUAGGACGUUUGAUUCUAUUUUGUUGGUUUCUAGGAUCGACGUAAUGAUUAAUAGGGAUAGUUGGGGGCAUUAGUAUUCAAUUGUCAGAGGUGAAAUUCUUGGAUUUAUUGAAGACUGACUACUGCGAAAGCAUUUGCCAAGGAUGUUUUCAUUAAUCAAGAACGAAAGUUAGGGGAUCGAAGACGAUCAGAUACCGUCGUAGUCUUAACCAUAAACUAUGCCGACU